AUAGCUGAUUGCACCAACAAAUACUUGAUGCAAUAUUGACUCUGUCAAAUAAAAUUCUAGGUAGAAUUAUGAUAAUGACAUUGUCUGCCUAUAUGUCUUGACCAAAUUACGUGCCAGCAGUCGCGGUAAUACGUAGAAGACUAGUGUUAUUCAUCUUUAAUAGGUUUAAAGGGUACCUAGACGGUAAAUCAAGCCUUCACAGGGACUAAUUUACUAGAGUUACUUACGAGGGGGUAUUAAAGUACUGCAGGUGUAGAGAUGAAAUUCUGUCAUACCUCUUUUCAAAAGAAAAAUCAUGGCACAGGUAUAGGUGAAAGCAUCCCCUUAUGUGAUAACUGACGUUGAAGGACGAAGGCUUUGUGUCGCGAACAGGAUUAGAUACCCCAGUAGUCAAAGCAGAAAAUGAUGAAUGUCAUAGAUUAGAUAAAUAGUUUAUUCUAUAAAUGAAAAUGUAAGCAUUCCACCUCAAGAGUAAUUUGGCAACAUUGGAACUGAAAUCAUUAGACCGUUUCUGAAACCAGUAGUGAAGUAUGUUGUUUAAUUUGAUGAUCCGCAAAAAACCUUACCACAAUUUGAAUAUUUAUAUCUAUCUUUUUUUUCGUAAAGAAAUAAAAAGGUAAUAUGUUUACAAGCGUUGCACGGCUGUCUUCAGUUAAUGUCGCGAGACUUUGGUUAGUUCCAUUAAAUUAACGUAAACCCUUACUUUAUUUUUAUAUGAAGUAGUUCCCCGCUAUAUUGGAUAUGAUAACAGGGACUAAGA
Molecule: ribosomal RNA, 760 nt
Filed under: Lepraria eburnea
Lineage: Eukaryota; Fungi; Ascomycota; Lecanoromycetes; Lecanorales; Stereocaulaceae
Description: SSU rRNA
Rfam family: Bacterial small subunit ribosomal RNA
Source: RNAcentral